GGGGCAGUGGCGGAAUCGGCAGACGCCGCAGACUUAAAAUCUGCUGUCCAUUGGACGUGUGGGUUCGAGUCCCACCUGCCCCA
This 83-nucleotide transfer RNA is filed under the name Chloroflexota bacterium. RNAcentral's name for it is "Chloroflexi bacterium tRNA-Leu". It matches the Rfam family "tRNA". Rfam says of the family: Transfer RNA (tRNA) molecules are approximately 80 nucleotides in length. Their secondary structure includes four short double-helical elements and three loops (D, anti-codon, and T loops). Lineage: Bacteria; Bacillati; Chloroflexota. The record is from RNAcentral.